CUACGGAGGGUGCAAGCGUUACUGGGAAUCACUGGGCGUAAAGCGCGCGUAGGCGGCUUAUUAAGUCAGAUGUGAAAUCCCCGGGCUCAACCUGGGAACUGCAUCUGAUACUGGUAAGCUAGAGUUUUUGAGAGGGAAGUAGAAUUUCAGGUGUAGCGGUGAAAUGCAUAGAGAUCUGAAGGAAUACCAGUGGCGAAGGCGACUUCCUGGCCAAAAACUGACGCUGAGGUGCGAAAGCGUGGGUAGCAAACGGGAUUAGAAACCCCAGUAGUCC
Molecule: ribosomal RNA, 274 nt
Filed under: uncultured bacterium
Lineage: Bacteria
Description: partial 16S ribosomal RNA
Rfam family: Bacterial small subunit ribosomal RNA
Source: RNAcentral